This 301-nucleotide ribosomal RNA is filed under the name uncultured bacterium. Its description in RNAcentral is "partial 16S ribosomal RNA". It matches the Rfam family "Bacterial small subunit ribosomal RNA", at positions 509 to 807 of the family's 1533-position model. The record is from RNAcentral.
CAGUCGCCGCGGGAAUACGAAGGGGGCUAGCGUUGUUCGGAUUUACUGGGCGUAAAGCGCACGUAGGCGGAUCGAUCAGUCAGGGGUGAAAUCCUGGAGCUCAACUCCAGAACUGCCUUUGAUACUGUCGAUCUCGAGUCCGGAAGAGGUGAGUGGAACUCCUAGUGUAGAGGUGGAAUUCGUAGAUAUUAGGAAGAACACCAGUGGCGAAGGCGACUAUCUGGGCCAACACUGACACUGAGGCACGAAAGCGUGGGGAGCAAACAGGAUUAGAUACCCCAGUAGUCCCUGUCUCUUAUAC